Molecule: long non-coding RNA, 290 nt
Organism: Echinops telfairi (small Madagascar hedgehog)
Lineage: Eukaryota; Metazoa; Chordata; Mammalia; Afrosoricida; Tenrecidae
Exons: 2
Source: RefSeq, a predicted model, not a curated record
UGCACUGUGAGGAAUGACUUCACCAUGUGCCUGAGCUCUUGCAAUCGGACUUGGUAGUCAUAACUUCUCGACAGAACCCCCGAACAUGGUGCGGAUCGUGGCCGAUAGUGACUUUAUCCUCAACCACCCCUGAUGGUAUCAGAGAAUCACCCACCACAAUGAACUGACUUUGCAGUAUUCAGUCCAUGCUACACUGCCAACCUGCUUAAGAAUUAUCUCAAUUUACUAUUUACACUUUUCCUUCAUUCACAGUAGUUGGCUAAAUAAACCUUAGCAUAUUUUACUAUUUA